UAGGGAACCCGCUUAUAUCAGUCGUUCAAACCCUUUUUCAUAGUUUAUCUAACGUUUAUGCUGAGGCGCUUAGUCAUGUACCUGCAGCAGACUCUAUACUCUGAAAGUAAAGUCUGUAGUUCCCAUGCAACGGGGACGAGCAUGAUUUAAAGGGGGGAGGGUGUAACCCGGGUGUUUUUCCGCUCCCCUUGGCCUUGGUGCACUGUCUCUUUAAAUGGGGCGCCACACCACGGCUCGCGAGUGUUGUGGGUCUCGGGAGUGUCUGAGCUGCUGCAGAUGCCUCCUGCUGUAUGACGAUGUGCUGAGAAUGACUAUUAAGCGGAACUGGCCAGGUUCCAGUAUUGGAUGGCGAGCUAGAAGGCCCCGAGCCUGGACAUAUUGAGUGCGCCCGUCCGCCGGUGCGGUAGGAGGCGCUGCAGCCACUCCCCACACACACCCACUUGCACACACGCACACUAACAACCUCCGCUGGUGGAUUGUUUGAACUUUGCGAGUUUUGCACAGACUGAAACCCAGGUUCACCAAACUUGACGAUCUGAACUCUUUGUGCGCCUAAGUGGAUCUAUGAACUCUUCUUUCACAGCAACGUGGAUUUAUGAACAAUACUGCUUG
Long non-coding RNA from Periophthalmus magnuspinnatus, 612 nucleotides. RefSeq lists it as uncharacterized. The record is from RefSeq and is a predicted model, not a curated record. The transcript has 3 exons. NCBI's taxonomy places the organism in Eukaryota, Metazoa, Chordata, Actinopteri, Gobiiformes, Gobiidae.